This is a long non-coding RNA of Equus caballus (horse), 2643 nucleotides long. Lineage: Eukaryota; Metazoa; Chordata; Mammalia; Perissodactyla; Equidae. The record is from Ensembl.
CACACUACACAUCUACUAAAAUAGCAAAAUAAAAUAAAAACAAAAAGUAACUAGCAGUACAAGUACUGGCACAGAUACAAAACAACCAGAACUGUCAGGUUGCUGGUAGGAAUGCAAAAUGUUACACUUUGGAACACAGUUUAGCAGUUUCUUACAAAGCUAAAUACAUACUUACCAUUUAACCCAGCAAUCCCAUUCCUAGGUACUUACCCAAGAGAACUAAAAACUUACGUUUACCCAAAAACCGGUAAGUCAAAGCUAAUAAUGGCUUUAUUCAUAACAGCCCCAAACUGGAAACAACCCAAAUGUCAUUCAGCUCGAGAAUGGAUAAGCACUGUGGUACAUCUCUACAAUGGAAUACCCCUCAGCAAAAAAAGGAAUGCACUAAUCAUAAAUGUACAGCAUGGUUGAACUGCAAAUGCAUUAUGCUAAGUAGGCAGUACCUGGGCAUCCCAAAAAAUUUUUCUCCCAUAUGUGAAUGGCUUAAUGGAAAAUAAAGAAAACAACAUAGAAACAAGAUUAUUCUGUGAAAUAGUUUUAAUGACAGUGACCCACUUCAUUAGCUAGUACACAAGUUCAGCAGCUGUAACUGAGACUCCAAGUAACAGUCUUACACAAAUUAGAAGUCUAUUUCUCUGCCAUGUGAUGGGCCUGCUGUAGGGAGUCCUGGACUAGGGUGCUGUCAGCAACACAGGCUCCUUUAACGUUCUGUUCUGGACUCCCGAAGGCAGUGAUUCACAAACUCUGCUUCACAGUGGAAUCACUUGGAAAUUUUUAAAAACACUCAUGUCUUGGCUCCCACCCCCAGACAUUCUUAUUUGAUUGGCCCACAGCAUAACCUGGGCAUUGGGAUUUUUAAAAGCUUCCUGGGUAAUUCUAACGUGCAGCAAAGUUUGGGAAUUAUUGUCUUAAAGAAUUGCUUGCAUCCACACGGUCCAAGACGGUUUAUGACCACAUCUGCAUCCCAAACAGGAGGAAAGAGGAUGGAGGCAUGAACCAGAAGUGCCAACGUCAUUUCUGCUCACAGCUCACUGGUCAACCACAUGGUCAUACCUGGUUGCACGAGAUGCUGAAAAAGGUAAUUUUUAUUUUAGUCAGCCAUGUGCCCAACUAAGAAUAGUUUUAUUAAAAGAAGAGGAGGAGGACAGAUAUUGGGAGAUAACCAACAAUCUCUCCCACCACUCCCUCCCUUUUUCGUUCAAACAGAAACAGUCCAAUCUGGCAAAAGCGCCAAAUCCUUAGAUUUGAAGAAAAACUCCUAACGGUCUCUUUGACUUGGUCAGGUAUCUUCCAACCACAUGCAGACUGAGCCAGAGAUUGUAACCCAUCAUCAUCAGAGGGAGGAAGGUCCAAGCUUGGUGACAUAUGUAUCAGAAUGGCUACCUCAGAAAAUUCCUGUGUUUUCACUUGAGUGGUGUGCCGGAGGAGUAAACUGUUCUGUUGGCCAAAGGCAGGCAGGGACAUCAAAACUCCAUGAACCCCACCCAGCUGACUGAUACAGUGAAGAGUUCUCAGCGCAACAUAGAGAAACUUCAAAGGAAGGGGUCUUCCUCUAAAAUCUGCCAAAUAUGUUGUGCCUGAAAUCUUAUUUUUGUUAAACUACUUGUUGAGGCUCUUCAUUCUAGUUUUGCUUGGUUUUGCCUUUGCACUCAAGCCUUGUUUUCCAGAAGAAAUGCAGGCACAAUCAAAUUGUAAUUUCAUCAUCAUGCAUCUUGGAUGCUGCACAGUGCCUAAGGAAAUUCCGAUUGAAAGGGGACAGCCACAUGAUAUUUCUCUUUUCUUUUGCUCUCCUUUGUGUACCACAGAGGAUACUUAGGCUAGAGACUUGGACCUCAAGACAAAUUUUCUCUGGAAAAAUUAAAAGCAAGCAGUUAGAAGUCUUGCAUACAGAAGGGUCAAAACUGAAAGAAAAACAGACAUCUGAUGCCAAAGAGUUUUUUGUUGUUGGUUUUGUUUUUUGGUUUUUUUUUUUUUUUUUUGAGGAAGAUUAGCCCUGACCUAACAUCUGCUGCCAAUCCUGCUAAGAAAGACUGGCCCUGAGCUAACAUCUGUGCCCAUCCUCCUCUACUUUAUAUGUGGGACGCCUACCACAGCAUGGUGUGCCAAGCAGUGCCAUGUCCACACCUGGGAUCCGAACUGGCGAACCCUGGGCUGCCAAAGCAGAACGUGUGCACUCAACCGCUGUGCCACUGGGCAGCCCCCACAAAGAGCUUUGUACUCACAAAAUGCCAGAGCAAAAACAGGAGUAGCAUAUAUUUCCCAUAAUAUUUAUAAUCAUAAGAAAAGAUCCAAGGUGAGUUUUCUACUUAAGCCUGAAAAAUACCAGUACUAGCUUAAGCAGGGAAUUGAUAAUAGUUGAAGUUUAGUGAAAAUGGCCAAAUUGUAUGCUGGAGUUUACAGAAGUAUCGGUUGUAAUUUCCAAAAAAUUUCCUUAAAAGUGAGGGGAUGCUAAAAGGACAAUAAUUAGUUAAAGAAUACAUAAAAUAAAAAGCUGUAAAAGCUGACAUCAAAAAUAUAAAACAUGGGAGGAAGGAAGUAAAAAUGUAAAGCUUUGGAAUGUGUUCAAAUUUAAGUUGCUAUCAACUUAAAACAGACCAAUAUAUACACAGGAUGUUAUAUGUCAACCUCACAGUAACCACAAAG